Molecule: long non-coding RNA, 1062 nt
Filed under: Homo sapiens (human)
Lineage: Eukaryota; Metazoa; Chordata; Mammalia; Primates; Hominidae
Description: non-protein coding lnc-MVP-3:20
Source: RNAcentral
AUAGCGUCCGGUAGCGACACGGAGCCGGCUCCCCCUUUUCCAGCCUUCCUCCCCAUCUCCCAUUCUCCAUCCCCCACGACCUAUACCAGAGGUCCUUAGGCCUCCACGUCUCUCCUUUUGCCGAGUAGCCCAAGGUUUCCACCCAUCUGCCAGGUCUGGGGCGUCAAGUCGGCUGCCUCGGCUUGGGAAGGGGGAUGGCGUCCACUCCGAUGGGGAAUGAGGGGGAGAAGAAGAGCAGCUGGCCAUCUCAAGCUGCACCCUCCUUGAGAGGAGGUCCGGCUUCGUUAUCUCGUUCUGAGGAAUACCUGUCCCAGAUCAGUGCAGAACUCAUGGAGGAGGCUUUGUGCACUGCUUGCUGCCACUUGAACCCUGUGCCCAUCAAAAAAAAGCAGUCACAAGACCAAGCGACUCAGAUAUCCAAACGCGGUAACCCCCUGCCUCAGGACCACCGUGUCUAGAGAACCGCUGCCCCCACUAUGCCUGGUUACAGUCCCUGACCCCUCCCACCCCUAGCUGAACUCUCCAGGAGUCUGUGCCCAUCUCAUCCAUCUCACAGCCAGCCCUAGGACCUGUGAAAUGCCCCUCUCACCCGCUAACCCAGUACCCACUCCUCACUGCUGGCCGAGAAUCCCCUUAGCCCCGUCUGCCCUGGCCGCAUCUCUUCUGGCCACGGGGAUAGUCCUUUCUCUGACUAGGUCCUCUACUUCCAGCAUUCUUCACCAAGACCUGAGGCACAGACACCUGGUGAGUGAGGCUUCAAGGGAGAUGCUCUUUGUCCUGGGAGAGAGCCCUCUCCCCUCUCUUCCACCAUCUCCUGCUCGGACAGAAACCGUACCUGCAGCAAGGCAUACCUCCUGCCAACUCCUGGUGAAAAGAACAUGCCUCAAAACUACUCUUUUGCCACUCGUUAACCACUUCCGUUUGUGGGGACCUCCUGGUCAUGAGCAGCAUCAUCCCGAAGCCUUCAAAGUGUUCUGGAUUCAUCACAGGACCCUCCAGCCUCAGCCAGCAAGGAUACCACCAGGAAUGAAAGUGCUUUAAUAAAGAGACAGGGUGUGCAUU